UUUGAUCCUGGCUCAGGAUGAACGCUGACAGAAUGCUUAACACAUGCAAGUCUUUGGCAAAUCUGUGCUUGCACAGCCUAGCCAAGGCGGACGGGUGAGUAACGCGUAAAGAACUUGCCCUGCAGACAGGGAUAACAGACGGAAACGACUGAUAAUACCUGAUACAAUUGCUAGCACGCAUGUGCCCGGCAAUGAAAAGUGAUGCUGCAGGAGAGCUUUGCGUCCUAUUAGUUUGUUGGUGAGGUAACGGCUCACCAAGGCGAUGAUAGGUAGCCGGCCUGAGAGGGUGAACGGCCACAAGGGGACUGAGAUACGGCCCUUACUCCUACGGGAGGCAGCAGUGGGGAAUAUUGGACAAUGGGGGCAACCCUGAUCCAGCAAUUCUGUGUGCACGAAGAAGGUUUUCGGAUUGUAAAGUGCUUUCAGCAGGGAAGAAGAAAGUGACGGUACCUGCAGAAGAAGCGACGGCUAAAUACGUGCCAGCAGCCGCGGUAAUACGUAUGUCGCAAGCGUUAUCCGGAAUUAUUGGGCAUAAAGGGCAUCUAGGCGGCCAGACAAGUCUGGGGUGAAAACUUGCGGCUCAACCGCAAGCCUGCCCUGGAAACUGUUUGGCUAGAGUGCUGGAGAGGUGGACGGAACUGCACGAGUAGAGGUGAAAUUCGUAGAUAUGUGCAGGAAUGCCGAUGAUGAAGAUAGUUCACUGGACGGUAACUGACGCUGAAGUGCGAAAGCUGGGGGAGCGAACAGGAUUAGAUACCCUGGUAGUCCCAGCCGUAAACGAUGAUUACUGGGUGUGGGCAUGAAGAGUGUCCGUGCCGAAGCUAAUGCGAUAAGUAAUCCGCCUGGGGAGUACGGCCGCAAGGCUGAAACUCAAAGGAAUUGACGGGGACCCGCACAAGCGGUGGAGCAUGUGGUUUAAUUCGACGCAACGCGAGGAACCUUACCAGAUCUUGACAUCCUACGAAUG
RNAcentral lists this ribosomal RNA (967 nucleotides) under Leptotrichia buccalis. RNAcentral describes it as "bacterial SSU rRNA". It matches the Rfam family "Bacterial small subunit ribosomal RNA", at positions 12 to 997 of the family's 1533-position model. The record is from RNAcentral. Lineage: Bacteria; Fusobacteriati; Fusobacteriota; Fusobacteriia; Fusobacteriales; Leptotrichiaceae.